Long non-coding RNA from Talpa occidentalis (Iberian mole), 830 nucleotides. RefSeq lists it as uncharacterized. The record is from RefSeq and is a predicted model, not a curated record. The transcript is spliced from 3 exons. Lineage: Eukaryota; Metazoa; Chordata; Mammalia; Eulipotyphla; Talpidae.
CUCACAACAGCCCGCGGAGGGGGCUCUCCAGUUUGAAGUUGACCUUCCAAGCUGUUCUCUGCGGCCCUCGCCCCCGACCUCAUUCCAUGCCCCUUGGGUCCUCACCUCAUGAGGACUGCCCAGCACCCACCCCCCAGCUCAGCGUCAGUAGUGCAGUGGUUAUCACCCAGCUUCAAGGCGUGGAGGCUGCUCUGUCUGCAGCGCCUCCCACCCUGCCCUCUGUCCGAGUAAUCUGGGUCAGGCUGGUUCCACCUUAAGCUCCAUGUGACCCUGACCUUGCCAGCCCAUCGCUGUGCCAGGUGACUGAGACACUGGAGUGGACACCUGACCGAAGUCAGGCCAAUCAGAGGCUGGAGACUCAACUCGCUCGGAAUUUUGUUGAAGCCAUUAGAUAGCCCACAGCCACAGAGCCAGCCCCCCGCUGUGCUCAGGUGGUGCUGGGGAGGAGGAGAGAGCCCCACAGAAGAAGCAAAGGAUAACUUGUGAAGAUAUCCAAGGAGCCUCCAGUUGUCGCUGGCCUCUGCCACCCCUAUGUGUGAACAAGCAAGGUGGAAUCAUCUCACAAUGUGAGAAAGGAAGGAAGGAAGAAAAGAUCGGUCAUGAACAUAAAGCAUCUCCCUCGUCUGCACAUCUGAGUGUGUGUGCAAAUUUACAACCCUGCUACAUAAACAUGAAGCAGAAUUGAGAAUACAGAAAUGGUAAAACACGAUAAACCAGAGACAAUGGUGAGAAAGGAAACCAACAGCACAUGUGGUUAAGUCUUAAUUGCUGUUCCUGAACAUUUCAGAAAUUUAGUUUUAAAUGUGAUUAGAAAGAAUCAUAAAAAUAGA